Molecule: RNA transcript, 1609 nt
Organism: Eublepharis macularius
Lineage: Eukaryota; Metazoa; Chordata; Lepidosauria; Squamata; Eublepharidae
Gene name: septin-4-like
Exons: 12
Source: RefSeq, a predicted model, not a curated record
GUCAGAGUGGAAAAUGGCUUCAUCCAUCUCUGAGCCAGAGAACGAGGAAAAGAUAAAGCGUUUCCAGAAGGACAACGUGGAAGAGGCUGAGCUGGUUCACUUCCUCAAGGAUUACCCUUCCAAGGAGUACUUUCGCUUUGUGCCAUCGGAAGGCAUCCAAAGGGACGGAGGCGGUGGUCCUACGGAGCCCAAGAUGUUCUCCAGCGUGGUCUCUAGGACCAUCCCUGACGACGCCUUGGUUGAAAAAGAGCAGAGGUCCUUCCAUCGGCCGCAGCCCCUCGACUUGCAACAGCAACACAUGGCUGCUCCAACACCGCCAAGCCCUUCCCGACCCAGGAGCCCCUGGGGCAGGCUUGAUCCCUAUGAUUCGGACGAGGAUGACAAAGAAUAUGUAGGGUUUGCGACACUUCCCAAUCAAGUUCACCGGAAGUCUGUGAAAAAAGGCUUUGAUUUCACACUCAUGGUUGCAGGAGAGGCUGGGCUGGGGAAAUCUACGCUGGUGAACAGCCUCUUUCUCACUGACCUCUACAAGGACCGCAAACUUCUGAAUGCAGAAGAACGGAUCCUGCAGACGGUGGAAAUCACGAAGCAUGUGGUGGACAUUGAGGAGAAAGGAGUGAAGCUCCGCCUUACCAUUGUAGACACACCGGGCUUUGGGGACGCCGUCAACAACACAGAGUGCUGGAAACCUGUGGCCGACUACAUAGAUCAGCAGUUUGAACAGUACUUCCGGGAUGAAAGUGGCCUGAACCGGAAGAACAUCCAGGACAAUCGCGUCCACUGCUGCCUCUACUUCAUUUCGCCCUUUGGACAUGGGCUGCGGCCCCUGGAUGUCGAAUUCAUGAAAGCUCUCCAUCAGCGCGUGAACAUCGUUCCGGUCCUGGCCAAAGCUGACACUCUGACUCCCUGUGAGGUGGAACGGAUGAAAAACAAGAUCCGUGAUGAGAUCGAGCAAUUCGGAAUCCGGAUCUACCAGUUCCCUGACUGUGAUUCAGAUGAAGAUGACGAUUUUAAGAUGCAGGAUCAGGCCCUUAAGGAGUGCAUCCCUUUUGCUGUGAUUGGCAGUAACACAGUGGUGGAGGCCAAAGGCAGACGGGUCCGUGGAAGGCUGUACCCGUGGGGCAUCGUGGAAGUGGAGAACCCUGACCACUGCGACUUCAUCAAGCUGCGCACCAUGCUGGUGAGGACCCACAUGCAAGACCUAAAGGAUGUGACGCGGGAAACGCAUUAUGAAAACUACCGGGCGCAGUGCAUCCAGAGCAUGACCCGCAUGGUGGUGAAGGAGCGGAACCGCAAGCAUGAGCAGGAGAGGCGGUCAGUGUUAUCUUAAAGAAUCCUCAGCUGGGGUGUGAGGGGGCGCAGGAGAGUGCUGCAGUUUGCAACGGAGAUCCUUCUGGAGGAAGGACAGACUCCUCCGCUCUGAGACUCUGCUGCAGCGACUGCUCUACGGAGUGAGCCAACGAGGUCCCCUCCUGGGCAGCAUCGCUCGUUCUGGGCGCUAGGACCGCACUGGGCUCAGAGCCUCUGAGGAUUCACGUCAGCCCCUACCCCACCCCUGAUGCCAGGCCGGGGCACUUCCCAACGUCUUCCCAAAGUGGUGUCUGUCUGG